ACUCCUGCGGGAGGCAGCAGUGGGGAAUUUUGGACAAUGGGCGAAAGCCUGAUCCAGCAAUGCCGCGUGAGUGAAGAAGGCCUUCGGGUUGUAAAGCUCUUUUGUCAGGGAAGAAACGGUGAAAGCUAAUAUCUUUUGCUAAUGACGGUACCUGAAGAAUAAGCACCGGCUAACUACGUGCCAGCAGCCGCGGUAAUACGUAGGGUGCAAGCGUUAAUCGGAAUUACUGGGCGUAAAGCGUGCGCAGGCGGUUUUGUAAGUCUGAUGUGAAAUCCCCGGGCUCAACCUGGGAAUUGCAUUGGAGACUGCAAGGCUAGAAUCUGGCAGAGGGGGGUAGAAUUCCACGUGUAGCAGUGAAAUGCGUAGAUAUGUGGAGGAACACCGAUGGCGAAGGCAGCCCCCUGGGUCAAGAUUGACGCUCAUGCACGAAAGCGUGGGGAGCAAACAGGAUUAGAUACCCCAGUAGUCCC
RNAcentral lists this ribosomal RNA (470 nucleotides) under uncultured organism. RNAcentral describes it as "partial 16S ribosomal RNA". It matches the Rfam family "Bacterial small subunit ribosomal RNA", at positions 335 to 797 of the family's 1533-position model. The record is from RNAcentral.